CUUGAACGCUGGCGGCAGGCCUAACACAUGCAAGUCGAACGAGUGGCGGACGGGUGAGUAAUGUCUGGGAAACUGCCCGAUGGCGGGGGAUAACUACUGGCAACGGUAGCUAAUACCGCAUACCAUCGGAUGUGCCCACAGGGGAUUAGAUAGUAGGGGGGGUAAAGGUUCACCUAGGCGACGCUCCCUAGCUGGUUUGAGAGGAUUACCAGCCACACUGGAACUGAUACACGGUCCAUACGCCUACGUGAGGAAGCAGUGGGGAAUAUUGCACAAUGGGCGCAAGCCUGAUGCAGCCAUGCCGCGUGUAUGAAGAAGGCCUUCGGGUUGUAAAGUACUUUCAGCGAGGAGGCGUUACUCGCAGAAGAAGCACCGGCUAACUCCGUGCCAGCCGCCGCGGUAAUAC
RNAcentral lists this ribosomal RNA (406 nucleotides) under uncultured bacterium. RNAcentral describes it as "partial 16S ribosomal RNA". It matches the Rfam family "Bacterial small subunit ribosomal RNA", at positions 30 to 526 of the family's 1533-position model. The record is from RNAcentral.